RNAcentral lists this ribosomal RNA (119 nucleotides) under Cicer arietinum (chickpea). The record is from RNAcentral. Lineage: Eukaryota; Viridiplantae; Streptophyta; Magnoliopsida; Fabales; Fabaceae.
AGGUGCGAUCCUACCAGCACUAAUGCACCGGAUCCCAUCAGAAUUCCGCAAUUAAGGGUGCUUGAGUGAGAGUAGUACUAGGAUGGCUGACCUCCGAGGAAGUCCUCGUGUUACACCUU